AUUGAACGCUGGCGGCAGGCCUAACACAUGCAAGUCGAACGGUAACAGGAAACAGCUUGCUGUUUCGCUGACGAGUGGCGGACGGGUGAGUAAUGUCUGGGAAACUGCCUGAUGGAGGGGGAUAACUACUGGAAACGGUAGCUAAUACCGCAUAACGUCGCAAGACCAAAGAGGGGGACCUUCGGGCCUCUUGCCAUCGGAUGUGCCCAGAUGGGAUUAGCUAGUAGGUGGGGUAACGGCUCACCUAGGCGACGAUCCCUAGCUGGUCUGAGAGGAUGACCAGCCACACUGGAACUGAGACACGGUCCAGACUCCUACGGGAGGCAGCAGUGGGGAAUAUUGCACAAUGGGCGCAAGCCUGAUGCAGCCAUGCCGCGUGUAUGAAGAAGGCCUUCGGGUUGUAAAGUACUUUCAGCGGGGAGGAAGGGAGUAAAGUUAAUACCUUUGCUCAUUGACGGUACCCGCAGAAGAAGCACCGGCUAACUCCGUG
RNAcentral lists this ribosomal RNA (490 nucleotides) under uncultured bacterium. RNAcentral's name for it is "partial 16S ribosomal RNA". It matches the Rfam family "Bacterial small subunit ribosomal RNA", at positions 30 to 507 of the family's 1533-position model. The record is from RNAcentral.